UUUUUUUUAUUAAAUUUAUCGCAAAUUGGGUUUGAUAUUGGAGUUUGGAGUUACCGGGGUAUCCAGAAAGGAGGAGGGGUGUAGAGAGUAAUAGAGUUGUUUAUAUACAAUUUGGUCAAAUAAAGUCUUGGCACCAAAAUUUUGCUAUAUGCACCAAUUGUAUUAAGAAUGUGGCAUUGGGUACUAUGGCGAAAGCACCCUAAUAAUGUUUUGGGGUUAGUAUUAG
RNAcentral lists this long non-coding RNA (226 nucleotides) under Actinidia chinensis (golden kiwifruit). RNAcentral describes it as "long non-coding RNA (ACHI_LNC003600)". Lineage: Eukaryota; Viridiplantae; Streptophyta; Magnoliopsida; Ericales; Actinidiaceae. The record is from RNAcentral.